CUGCUGCGGGCAGAUGAAAUGGAUGUGGCUGUCGAAGCCGCCGGCGGUCAGGAUCUUGCCCUCGCCCGCGAUGGCCUCGGUCCCGGGGCCGACGACGAUGUCGACGCCCGGCUGCACGUCCGGGUUGCCGGCCUUGCCGAUCUUCGCGAUGCGGCCGUCCUUCAGCCCGACGUCGGCCUUGUAGAUGCCGGUGGCGUCCACGAUCAGCGCGUUGGUGAUCACGGUGUCGACGGCGCCCUCGGCGCGGGUGGCCUGCGCCUGUCCCAUGCCGUCGCG
Molecule: small RNA, 276 nt
Filed under: Rhodosalinus sediminis
Lineage: Bacteria; Pseudomonadati; Pseudomonadota; Alphaproteobacteria; Rhodobacterales; Paracoccaceae
Description: 5' ureB small RNA
Rfam family: 5' ureB small RNA
Source: RNAcentral